UCAAAUUUGAAAUCUGGCUCUUUCAGAGUCCGAGUUGUAAUUUGCAGAGGGCGCUUUGGCGUUGGCAGCGGUCCAAGUUCUUUGGAACAGGACGUCACAGAGGGUGAGAAUCCCGUACGUGGUCGCUAGCCUUCGCCGUGUAAAGCCCCUUCGACGAGUCGAGUUGUUUGGGAAUGCAGCUCUAAAUGGGAGGUAAAUUUCUUCUAAAGCUAAAUACUGGCCAGAGACCGAUAGCGCACAAGUAGAGUGAUCGAAAGAUGAAAAGCACUUUGGAAAGAGAGUCAAAUAGCACGUGAAAUUGUUGAAAGGGAAGCGCUUGCAGCCAGACUUGCCUGUAGUUGCUUAUCUAGACUUUUGUCUAGUGCACUCUUCUGCGGGCAGGCCAGCAUCAGUCUAGGCGGUUGGAUAAAGGUCUCUGUCAUGUACCUCUCUUCGGGGAGGCCUUAUAGGGGAGACGACAUGCAACCAGCCUGGACUGAGGUCCGCGCAUCUGCUAGGAUGCUGGCGUAAUGGCUGUAAGCGGCCCGUCUUGAAACACGGACCAAGGAGUCUAACAUCUAUGCGAGUGUUUGGGUGUCAAGCCCAGACGCGUAAUGAAAGUGAACGGAGGUGGGAACCCUUUGGGUGCACCAUCGACCGAUCCUGAUGUCUUCGGAUGGAUUUGAGUAAGAGCAUGGCUGUUGGGACCCGAAAGAUGGUGAACUAUGCUUGAAUAGGGUGAAGCCAGAGGAAACUCUGGUGGAGGCUCGCAGCGGUUCUGACGUGC
This 766-nucleotide ribosomal RNA is filed under the name Neosetophoma sambuci. RNAcentral describes it as "partial large subunit ribosomal RNA". It matches the Rfam family "Eukaryotic large subunit ribosomal RNA", at positions 109 to 894 of the family's 3401-position model. The record is from RNAcentral. Lineage: Eukaryota; Fungi; Ascomycota; Dothideomycetes; Pleosporales; Phaeosphaeriaceae.